This 335-nucleotide unclassified non-coding RNA is filed under the name soil metagenome. RNAcentral's name for it is "partial contains 5.8S ribosomal RNA, internal transcribed spacer 2, and large subunit ribosomal RNA". The stretch from base 1 to 119 matches the Rfam family "5.8S ribosomal RNA", at positions 35 to 154 of the family's 154-position model. The record is from RNAcentral.
GAUGAAGAACGCAGCGAAAUGCGAUACGUAAUGUGAAUUGCAAAUUCAGUGAAUCAUCGAGUCUUUGAACGCACAUUGCGCCCGCCAGUAUUCUGGCGGGCAUGCCUGUUCGAGCGUCAUUUCAACCAUCAAGCCCCCGGCUUGUGUUGGGGACCUGCGGCUGCCGCAGGCCCUGAAAACCAGUGGCGGGCUCGCUGUCACACCGAGCGUAGUAGAUUUUCAUCUCGCUCAGGGCGUGCUGCGGGUUCCGGCCGUAAAAAGCCUUAUUUACCCAAGGUUGACCUCGGAUCAGGUAGGAAGACCCGCUGAACUUAAGCAUAUCAAUAAGCGGAGGA